This 254-nucleotide ribosomal RNA is filed under the name uncultured bacterium. RNAcentral describes it as "partial 16S ribosomal RNA". It matches the Rfam family "Bacterial small subunit ribosomal RNA", at positions 524 to 776 of the family's 1533-position model. The record is from RNAcentral.
UACGUAGGGUGCAAGCGUUGUCCGGAAUUAUUGGGCGUAAAGAGCUCGUAGGCGGUCUGUCGCGUCGGCUGUGAAAACUUGGGGCUCAACCCCAAGCCUGCAGUCGAUACGGGCAGACUAGAGUGCGGUAGGGGAGACUGGAAUUCCUGGUGUAGCGGUGAAAUGCGCAGAUAUCAGGAGGAACACCGGUGGCGAAGGCGGGUCUCUGGGCCGUAACUGACGCUGGAGGAGCGAAAGCGUGGGGAGCGAACAGG